Molecule: long non-coding RNA, 410 nt
Filed under: Spirodela polyrhiza (greater duckweed)
Lineage: Eukaryota; Viridiplantae; Streptophyta; Magnoliopsida; Alismatales; Araceae
Description: long non-coding RNA (SPOL_LNC002286)
Source: RNAcentral
CAGCAAUCCAUGAAUAGAAUAUCUCCACAAACAACACGUAGAAUUGUGCAGUGCUUUUAAACUCUCAUCCCAAACCAAAAAUUCCACCACUCGGAGCACCUAUGCCGACGGAAAAUUCCAACACUGGCCAUUCCAAAGCAUUUAGGAUGAGAAAUUUCUCCGCCACAUAAACAAACACCCGACAUUUCACAACGGUUGCACUGGCAAAUCCACAAUAACCCACAAAUAUUUACCCAUAUUUUAAGCAAUUCCACAUUGAAAAAAUAGAGAAUCAAUAAAAUAACACUUCAAAAUGCCACAAAUCAGCAGGCAUCCCCGACAGCAAGGUUGAGCUUCGGGUUCCAUCAGGCGUGAAAAAACCACUUCCCUACAGCAGCUGGUGUGUGUGUGUGUGUGUGUGUGUGUGUGUG